CCUGAGCCGAAGUCAGACGCUCAGCCGACUGAGCCACCCAGGUGCCCCGAUUUUUCAACAAAUAUCUAUUGAGCGCCUGCUGUGUGCCGAGUGCCAGGGGCAUGGCAGUGACUAGGGUGGAUGGCAUGCCUGCCCUUGUAAAGCUGGCAUUCUGGCGAGAGAGAGACAGACAAACGUACACAUAAGUAGUUACUUCCAGACACGGAUACAGGCUAUGAAGACAUCGGCAGAGGGGGGCAGUGGGGCGUGAUGGGAGAAACCCCCUGGCAGGGGCUGGGGGGCGGGCAGCUCUGGGAGGAGGGGGCAUCUAUUGAGACCAAUGAGACCCAGCGACCAAGGGAAAAUAUGGGGGAACCUUUGCAACAGCAGAGGUCUGGAGGUGGGCAUCAGGUUGACUUACUUUAGGAGCAGGAAGAUGCUUGUGUUUCUGGGGAGGUGAGUGACAGCGAAGAAAGAGAGGGCAUUGGAGGGGACAGGCACCAGACGGCCAGGGCUGGAGGUCAGGGACGGGCGUGCGGAUUUUAUCCUGAAUGUGAUGGGCAGUCAGUGGGGCGUCGAAUCAGUGACUUGGUUGGGGUUACAUUUUCGGCCCCUCCAACUGCUGCGUGGAAAGGUUAUUAUGUAGGGGACAAGGGUGAAGCAGGAGGACCAGGUUGGGAGGAGCUGUGGGUGUCCAGGCGAGCGGCGAUGGUGGCUUGGACCAGGGUGGGGGCAGUGAAUACAGAGAUGGGUGGCCAGGGCUGGCGGGAGGCCCGGGGCUCUGCAUUUGGUUUCAUUUUUCCUUUUACACAGUCCACCCGUGGGGCUCUGGGUCACUGGAGUUUCCCUGGCACCACGGCCUGUCUCCUGGAGAAAGGCCUGUAUCUGGCCUUUCCUCCUCCUGGCCCUGGACCCGGCGCCUUCUCAGUUACUCUGUGACUGUCCCCCUCCUCCCACCCUCAACCAAGCCCAGGCUUUGCCUGUGGUCCCCCAGUAUGCUGCUCCCGCCCUGCGGGCUGUCCAUAAACCACUCGGCAACCCCUCUGGGGAGAUGAUCAGGCGUAUCCCCAAGGAGGGGGCCCUGAGAGUCUGGGCCAGCAGGGGCAGAUUUGUUUCGGGGUCCCUGAUUAUAGGGAACUAUCCAGAGGUAGCUUGCUGGAGGGCGGCCUCUUUCUUGGGGCGGUGUUCCUCCCAUCCAGCCUGUUGCUGGGAUGGAGCUGGGGGACAUUCCCUGCUUACUUCCUGGGGUCUCAGGUGCUCGCUUCGACGGCGGCUGGAGAGCUGUGCUGAGCAGAGGCCGCCCUGGCUCCUCCAAGGGAGAAUCGGCCCGGAGUCCCACUGGCCUCACCUCCGUGGUCUCCAACGUGCAGUAGGUCCUCAGGGCUGUGCUCCCUCAUCGUGUCCCUAAGCCUUCAAAUGUAAUAGAUGCUGUUUGAAAACACCCUAUGGCUUGGGUUUCUUCAUCAGCGACAUGGGCGUGAUGGUGACAUGUGGGGGCAGGGAGACUUGGAGGAGAGGUUUCCCUGUUCUCCAGCAGAAACUGGAAACGGAGGUCCUGAGCUGCGUCGUCCCAAGUCGCGCGGCUGGGAGAUGGCGGAGGUGGGAUUUGAACGCAGGGCCCCUGAAUCAGGGACAGCGGGAGGAAGAGUUGGGCCGGGGUGCGGAAGGUGCUGCCUGGAUCGCCCUGUGACCCCGGGCUCCACUUCUCCUUUCUGCGCAGUGUAGUCAGCACACAGGAAGCUGGCUGGGGCCUCCCUUGCCCAUCCUGUCUGCAGCGGGUGGACACGGGGUCCUGGCGUCACCCACCACCGCCCGGGGCCUCCCCCUUCCUGUCUUGUGCAAGACGAGGCGUCCCCUGCGUGGAAUGGGCAGGCGGCUUUGGCGGAUGGGUGGACGGGUGAGGAAACUGAGGCCUUGAGAAGUGGAGGGACCAGCACGUAGUCACACAGCUCAGCCGCUUCCUGCUGGUCAUUGUCUGUGACCCAGGGCCAGCACCGUUCUGGAAGCCGGGUGGCCCGGAAGGGAAGUUCGUUCAGCCACCCUCCUGCUGAGCCGCUCCUGGCGUGUGGUCCUCAGUUUUCCCAUCUGUACCAGCUCUGCUGUCUCAGGCUUCUGUUUUGGGGUCAGAAGGUCUGGGCCAGUGCAGGGCAGGCGGCGUGGGGGGAAGCGACAGGGACGGAAGCCACCUCUGGGAUGGCCGGGGUGCCAGGUGCUCUCAGGGCCCACCCGGAAGGUACUCUGGCUGCAGGAUGUGGGGCAGAAGUGAGAGACCCUUGUCAGCAGAGGUGGGGAAGGGCACGGGAAUACCUUGACUUCCUCGCCUUGUGGGGGGCAGUGCUGGGCCAUAUUCUCCUUCUUCCCCCAGAGGUUCCUGGGUGCUGAGCCCACAGAGGUGGCCUGUUCACCUCCCUCCCUUGUCUCACUUCCUCACUCCCUCCUGGUGUUUCUGGGAUCACCUCCCAAAUAAAUCGCUUGCUCUCAAA
Molecule: long non-coding RNA, 2462 nt
Organism: Felis catus (domestic cat)
Lineage: Eukaryota; Metazoa; Chordata; Mammalia; Carnivora; Felidae
Exons: 2
Source: RefSeq, a predicted model, not a curated record